UUUCCUUUAUAACGCGGAAGUGAUGCGGGCCAUAGUUUUGGGUCUGUUAUUCGCCUACUCUGAUUCUGAAGGAAAAUAUCUGCCUUUUGGAGAAUACGAUCGAUCAUCUAUUGACAGUAAUAGUCACGGUGCGUCUGUGAAUGGAGGUGCGUCUUUGCGUCUUUGCGACAGUGUCCACUAAGCAUACAAUGCUUAUUUCGACCCUCUGCCCAACAAAGAUGGAGGUGCCAGUGGUAAUAGUGAUGAUAGUGUCCGUAAUGGACGUGCUACAGACAGCAGGGGUUGUAAAAAUAGUGCUCUGAAGAACUAGAAAGUCACCCGCGAUAGGAACUUAUUUAACCACACUGUAAAAAAUACAACUUGCCUUUAGUACUGCCAAAUAACUUUUCUGACUAAACAGAACUCAAAUAAUCAAAUAGUGUAGUAAAACUCAUUAUAACAAGUUUUCACAACUAAUUUGGGAAUUUCACCUAACAAACUUAAGAAACUGAGUUGACUCAACUUGCAUAAUUAAGUAUCUAUAAGAGAGAAGUUUCCCAAAGUUCACUGAACUUCUUAGUCAAGUUGGCGCAAGCGCAUUGUUUCCUAACGUAUCAAGGCGACCUGUGGGCUGCAGCUUGAAUUUGUCAGGAGGACAGAAGCCAGUCACCUUCCCUACCUGUACGCAGCGUGGAGCAAAUGACAACAGCAUUGUCAAAGACUCUUCUGUUGCAAUGCAAUGUAAGGAGUGUCCAUUUUCUCACCCGGAUGUAGAGACCCUCCUGACCCAUUACAGGCUUCAUCACGGUCACCAGGGAAAAAGCUGGCUCUGCCUCCACCCCAAGUGCAUGUGCAUCUUUAAGACUUCAGGAUGCAGAUGCUGAGGAGGACUAGAGGCAUGAAAAUUGGAAUCUUGACCGUCAUUGAAGAUGACCUCGCCAUGAAAGCGCCAGACACUGUCACCAAUAUCGCCAUCGUCCUGGAAGAGACUGUUGUUCUACAGGACAUCAAGGAUCUUCUAUCUGCACUGGCCUACCUAUGCGGACUCCUGCAUGACAUGGGGUGCCAAUACUUAUGACCCCUGUAUUUUAAGGAAGAACAUUUAUUUAUUUAUUUAUGAUUAUUAUCAUUAUUCAUUCACAAAGAAAAUUGGUGUCCUUAAAUGUUGGAUAUUCCCUCAUUUUUUAACUUAAGGCAUUAAGAUCAAUUUCUAAAAGAUGAUUUAAUAUUCCUCUUUUUAGUCAGCGUUAGCAGAGGUGCUAAUAAUUCUGUAGGGUACUGUAGGUCAGGGGUGUUCAAACUGGCUAAAAAUAAAAAUAUUGUUUGAUCUA
Alosa sapidissima (American shad) is the source of this 1310-nucleotide long non-coding RNA. RefSeq lists it as uncharacterized. NCBI's taxonomy places the organism in Eukaryota, Metazoa, Chordata, Actinopteri, Clupeiformes, Clupeidae. The transcript has 3 exons. The record is from RefSeq and is a predicted model, not a curated record.